AGAGUUUGAUCAUGGCUCAGGAUGAACGCUGGCGGUCUGCUUAACACAUGCAAGUCGAACGAAUCCCUUCGGGGAUUAGUGGCGGACGGGUGAGUAACGCGUGAGAAUCUGCCAAAAGGACUGGGACAACCACUGGAAACGGUGGCUAAUACCGGAUGAGCCGCAACGUAAAAGAGGAAACUCGCCUUUUGAGGAGCUCGCGUCUGAUUAGCUAGUUGGUAGGGUAAAAGCUUACCAAGGCAUCGAUCAGUAGCUGGUCUGAGAGGAUGACCAGCCACACUGGGACUGAGACACGGCCCAGACUCCUACGGGAGGCAGCAGUGGGGAAUUUUCCGCAAUGGGCGAAAGCCUGACGGAGCAAGACCGCGUGAGGGAAGAAGGCUCUUGGGUCGUAAACCUCUUUUGUCAGGGAAGAACACAAUGACGGUACCUGAAGAAUCAGCAUCGGCUAACUCCGUGCCAGCAGCCGCGGUAAUACGGAGGAUGCAAGCGUUAUCCGGAAUUACUGGGCGUAAAGAGUUGCGUAGGCGGCAUCGUAAGUAGGUAGUAAAAUCCUGGGGCUCAACCUCUUAACUAUUACCUAAACUGCGAAGCUAGAAUAUAGAAGAGGUAGCUGGAAUUCCUUGUGUAGGAGUGAAAUCCGUAGAUAUAAGGAGGAACACCGAUGGCGUAGGCAGGCUACUGGUCUAUUAUUGACGCUAAGGCACGAAAGCGUGGGUAGCAAACGGGAUUAGAUACCCCCGUAGUCC
RNAcentral lists this ribosomal RNA (749 nucleotides) under uncultured cyanobacterium. Its description in RNAcentral is "bacterial SSU rRNA". It matches the Rfam family "Bacterial small subunit ribosomal RNA", at positions 8 to 796 of the family's 1533-position model. The record is from RNAcentral. Lineage: Bacteria; Bacillati; Cyanobacteriota.